UCGAACGGACUCAUACUGAAACCUAGUGAUUUAUGAGUUAGUGGCGGACGGGUGAGUAACGCGUGGAUAACCUGCCGUAUACCGGGGGAUAACACUUAGAAAUAGGUGCUAAUACCGCAUGAGCGCACAGCUCCGCAUGGGGCGGUGUGAAAAACUCCGGUGGUAUACGAUGGAUCCGCGUCUGAUUAGCCAGUUGGCGGGGUAACGGCCCACCAAAGCGACGAUCAGUAGCCGGCCUGAGAGGGUGAACGGCCACAUUGGGACUGAGACACGGCCCAGACUCCUACGGGAGGCAGCAGUGGGGAAUAUUGCACAAUGGGGGAAACCCUGAUGCAGCGACGCCGCGUGAGUGAAGAAGUAUCUCGGUAUGUAAAGCUCUAUCAGCAGGAAAGAUAAUGACGGUACCUGACUAAGAAGCCCCGGCUAACUACGUGCCAGCAGCCGCGGUAAUACGUAGGGGGCAAGCGUUAUCCGGAUUUACUGGGUGUAAAGGGAGCGUAGACGGCAGCGCAAGUCUGGAGUGAAAUGCCGGGGCCCAACCCCGGAACUGCUUUGGAAACUGUGCGGCUCGAGUGCGGGAGAGGUAGGCGGAAUUCCUAGUGUAGCGGUGAAAUGCGUAGAUAUUAGGAGGAACACCAGUGGCGAAGGCGGCUUACUGGACCGUAACUGACGUUGAGGCUCGAAAGCGUGGGGCGCAA
This 698-nucleotide ribosomal RNA is filed under the name uncultured bacterium. RNAcentral describes it as "bacterial SSU rRNA". It matches the Rfam family "Bacterial small subunit ribosomal RNA", at positions 62 to 771 of the family's 1533-position model. The record is from RNAcentral.